Molecule: ribosomal RNA, 453 nt
Filed under: uncultured Rikenellaceae bacterium
Lineage: Bacteria; Pseudomonadati; Bacteroidota; Bacteroidia; Bacteroidales; Rikenellaceae
Description: bacterial SSU rRNA
Rfam family: Bacterial small subunit ribosomal RNA
Source: RNAcentral
GCACAAGCGGAGGAACACGUGGUUAAUUCGAUGAUACGCGAGGAACCUUACCUGGGCUAGAACGCCGGGGAGCUCGUCCGAAAGGCGGGCCAGCGAUGGCCGCCGGCGAGGUGCUGCAUGGUUGUCGUCAGCUCGUGCCGUGAGGUGUCGGGUUAAGUCCCAUAACGAGCGCAACCCCUACCGCCAGUUGCCAACGGGUAAAGCCGGGACUCAGGCGGGACUGCCGGCGUAAACCGAGAGGAAGGCGGGGAUGACGUCAAAUCAGCACGGCCCUUACGUCCAGGGCUACACACGUGUUACAAUGGCCGGUACAGAGGGAGGCGACCCCGCGAGGGGGAGCGGAUCCCGAAAGCCGGUCGUAGUUCGGAUCGGGGUCUGGAACCCGACCCCGUGAAGCCGGAUUCGCUAGUAAUCGUGGAUCAGCAUGCCACGGUGAAUACGUUCCCGGGCCUU